UUAAGUUCAGCGGGUAUUCCUACCUGAUCCGAGGUCAACUCUUGAAAGUUGGGCGUUUUACGGCGUGACCGUCUCCGCGCUCCGGUGCGAGGUUGUGCUACUACGCAGGGGAGGCUGCGGCGAGGUCGCCACUGCAUUUCGGGGGCGGCGCGCGCUGGGCGGCCGGCCCCCAACACCAGGUCCCCCCCCGCGAGGGGGUU
This 200-nucleotide unclassified non-coding RNA is filed under the name Tolypocladium sp. RNAcentral's name for it is "partial internal transcribed spacer 2". The record is from RNAcentral. Lineage: Eukaryota; Fungi; Ascomycota; Sordariomycetes; Hypocreales; Ophiocordycipitaceae.